AGUGAACGCUGGCGGUAGGCCUAACACAUGCAAGUCGAACGGCAGCACAGUAAGAGCUUGCUCUUACGGGUGGCGAGUGGCGGACGGGUGAGGAAUACAUCGGAAUCUACUUUUUCGUGGGGGAUAACGUAGGGAAACUUACGCUAAUACCGCAUACGACCUACGGGUGAAAGCAGGGGAUCUUCGGACCUUGCGCGAUUGAAUGAGCCGAUGUCGGAUUAGCUAGUUGGCGGGGUAAAGGCCCACCAAGGCGACGAUCCGUAGCUGGUCUGAGAGGAUGAUCAGCCACACUGGAACUGAGACACGGUCGAGACUCCUACGGGAGGCAGCAGUGGGGAAUAUUGGACAAUGGGCGCAAGCCUGAUCCAGCCAUACCGCGUGGGUGAAGAAGGCCUUCGGGUUGUAAAGCCCUUUUGUUGGGAAAGAAAGGCAGCAGGUUAAUACCCCGCUGUUCUGACGGUACCCAAAGAAUAAGCACCGGCUAACUUCGUG
This 492-nucleotide ribosomal RNA is filed under the name uncultured bacterium. RNAcentral's name for it is "partial 16S ribosomal RNA". It matches the Rfam family "Bacterial small subunit ribosomal RNA", at positions 29 to 507 of the family's 1533-position model. The record is from RNAcentral.